Molecule: small RNA, 444 nt
Filed under: Vigna angularis var. angularis
Lineage: Eukaryota; Viridiplantae; Streptophyta; Magnoliopsida; Fabales; Fabaceae
Description: Non-protein coding transcript
Source: RNAcentral
ACCACUGCGAUUGCGCCUCCGAUUCAGCGUCCGUGGCUGCUUCAGGCGCCGUGCCCUACCUCAACGGCGCCGUUGAAAUGUUUGAGCCCAGUCCCGUUCCGGUGCCUGUGGUCUUGGGGGAGCUGUUGACGGGGUCUUAGGAACUGGUUCCGGAGAUUACGACGCACGCGCUCAGCUACUUGGAUUAUCCCAGUCUCUGCCGUCUCUCCAUGACCAAUUCUUUGAUGCGAAAGGCCGCGAAUGAUGAUAACGCUUGGAAGGCCAUGUUUCACAAGAAGAAGAAGCAAUUUGAGCAAAUGAAGAAAGAAGAAGAAGAAAGAAACAAAGUGUGUUUGAAAACGUAUGAAAGAAGAUGAAAUGAAAAAGGUGAACAGGAAAAGGAAAUGACAAAAAAAAGUGUUUAUUUGUGAAAAGUGAAAACAUACUUUAAAAUAUUGAAUGAAG